Molecule: long non-coding RNA, 223 nt
Filed under: Lathyrus oleraceus (garden pea)
Lineage: Eukaryota; Viridiplantae; Streptophyta; Magnoliopsida; Fabales; Fabaceae
Description: Pisum sativum (pea) long non-coding RNA (PSAT_LNC033023)
Source: RNAcentral
CAUGCUCGCUAGGAUAUCGCAUCCUAUGCAUACGUAUCUCCUUUGGACGAAGGAGAAUCAGAGCAUCCGUAGCUCGGCUAACACGCACACAAACAAACACAGGCAAAGGCAAACAUGGAGCCUGAACGCCAAUCACUGGACUUACAUCAGCAUCCGAACCAAAACACACACAAGAAGGCAAACAUGGAGCCUGAAUGCCAAUCACUGGACUUACAUCAGCAUC